GGUGGCUCAGUGGUAGAGCACUUGCCUUGCAUGCAUGAAGCCCUAGGUUCAAUUCCUCAGCACCA
Molecule: transfer RNA, 65 nt
Filed under: Dipodomys ordii (Ord's kangaroo rat)
Lineage: Eukaryota; Metazoa; Chordata; Mammalia; Rodentia; Heteromyidae
Rfam family: tRNA
About the family: Transfer RNA (tRNA) molecules are approximately 80 nucleotides in length. Their secondary structure includes four short double-helical elements and three loops (D, anti-codon, and T loops).
Source: Rfam by way of RNAcentral